AGUGAACGCUGGCGGUAGGCCUAACACAUGCAAGUCGAACGGCAGCACAGUAAGAGCUUGCUCUUACGGGUGGCGAGUGGCGGACGGGUGAGGAAUACAUCGGAAUCUACUUUUUCGUGGGGGAUAACGUAGGGAAACUUACGCUAAUACCGCAUACGACCUACGGUUGAAAGCAGUGGAUCUUCGGACCUUGCGCGGUUGAAUGAGCCGAUGUCGGAUUAGCUAGUUGGCGGGGUAAAGGCCCACCAAGGCGACGAUCCGUAGCUGGUCUGAGUGGAUGAUCGGCCACACUGGAACUGAGACACGGUCCAGACUCCUACGGGAGGCAGCAGUGGGGAAUAUUGGACAAUAGGCGCAAGCCUGAUCCAGUCAUACCGAGUGGGUGAAGAAGGCCUUCGGGUUGUAAAGACCUUUUGUUGGGAAAGAAAAGCAGCAGGUUAAUACCCCGCUGUUCUGACGGUACCCAAAGAAUAAGCACCGGCUAACUUCGUG
This 492-nucleotide ribosomal RNA is filed under the name uncultured bacterium. Its description in RNAcentral is "partial 16S ribosomal RNA". It matches the Rfam family "Bacterial small subunit ribosomal RNA", at positions 29 to 507 of the family's 1533-position model. The record is from RNAcentral.